Molecule: ribosomal RNA, 519 nt
Filed under: uncultured bacterium
Lineage: Bacteria
Description: bacterial SSU rRNA
Rfam family: Bacterial small subunit ribosomal RNA
Source: RNAcentral
GAUCAUGGCUACGAGGACGAACGCUGGCGGCGUGCCUAACACAUGCAAGUCGAGCGGGACAUGCGACGGAGACGAAGUACUCGUACGGAGUCAAAGAUGUAAUGUUCUAGCGGCGGACGGGUGAGUAACGCGUGAGCAACCUGUCCCUUACAGGGGGAUAACACAGCGAAAGUUGUACUAAUACCGCAUAAGACCACAGAGUGACAUCGCUCAGGGGUCAAAGGAGCAAUCCGGUAAGGGGUGGGCUCGCGUCCGAUUAGAUAGUUGGUGAGGUAACGGCCCACCAAGUCGACGAUCGGUAGCCGACCUGAGAGGGUGAUCGGCCACAUUGGGACUGAGACACGGCCCAAACUCCUACGGGAGGCAGCAGUGGGGAAUAUUGGGCAAUGGGGGGAAACCCUGACCCAGCAACGCCGCGUGAGGGAAGAAGGUUUUCGGAUCGUAAACCUCUGUCCCAGGUGAAGAGGAAGAGACGGUAGCCUGGGAGGAAGCCCCGGCUAACUACGUGCCAGCCGCCGC